AUUGUAUGGUGGUGGCACUCCCUAUAGCGGGCGGUGUGAUGAGUUAUUGCGAAAGAAAGACGUCACCAAGCCCGCAUAACGCGGGUUUUUUUGU
Molecule: regulatory RNA element, 94 nt
Organism: Enterovibrio coralii
Lineage: Bacteria; Pseudomonadati; Pseudomonadota; Gammaproteobacteria; Vibrionales; Vibrionaceae
Rfam family: Tryptophan operon leader
About the family: At least 6 amino acid operons are known to be regulated by attenuation. In each a leader sequence of 150-200 bp is found upstream of the first gene in the operon. This leader sequence can assume two different secondary structures known as the terminator and the anti-terminator structure.
Source: Rfam